AGAGUUUGAUCAUGGCUCAGAGUGAACGUUGGCGGCGAGCCUGACACAUGCAAGUCGAACGAUUCCCGAAUAGCUUACUAUUCGGGAAGAGUAGCGAACGGGUGAGUAACACGUGAGUAAUCACCCCUCGAGUGAGGAAUAAUUCCGCGAAAGCGGGACUAAUACCGCAUAAUACUCUGGGGCAUAAGCCUUUAGAGUCAAAGCUUUCCGAGCAAUCGGAUGGCGCUUGAGGACGAGCUCGCGGCCUAUUAGCUAGUUGGUGGGGUAAUGGCCUACCAAGGUUAUGAUGGGUAGCCGGCUUGAGAGGGUGUACGGCCACACUGGGACUGAGACACGGCCCAGACUCCUACGGGAGGCAGC
This 360-nucleotide ribosomal RNA is filed under the name uncultured bacterium. RNAcentral's name for it is "bacterial SSU rRNA". It matches the Rfam family "Bacterial small subunit ribosomal RNA", at positions 8 to 352 of the family's 1533-position model. The record is from RNAcentral.